Molecule: ribosomal RNA, 143 nt
Filed under: uncultured Bacteroidales bacterium
Lineage: Bacteria; Pseudomonadati; Bacteroidota; Bacteroidia; Bacteroidales
Description: partial 16S ribosomal RNA
Rfam family: Bacterial small subunit ribosomal RNA
Source: RNAcentral
UCUCCUACGGGAGGCAGCAGUGAGGAAUAUUGGUCAAUGGAGGCAACUCUGAACCAGCCAAGUCGCGUGAAGGAAGACUGUCCUAUGGAUUGUAAACUUCUUAGUAGGUGAGUAAAUGUAGGUACGUGUACCUACUGCAAGUA